Molecule: ribosomal RNA, 655 nt
Filed under: uncultured Gemmatimonadota bacterium
Lineage: Bacteria; Pseudomonadati; Gemmatimonadota
Description: bacterial SSU rRNA
Rfam family: Bacterial small subunit ribosomal RNA
Source: RNAcentral
CUGCCCACUUGUGGGGUAUAGCCGGCCCAACGGCCGGGUAAUCCCGCAUACGCUUCUCUGGCUGCAUGGCCGGGGGAGGAAAGCCGUAAGGCGCAAGUGGAGGGGCUCGCGGCCUAUCAGCUAGUUGGCGGGGUAACGGCCCACCAAGGCGAUGACGGGUAGCUGGUCUGAGAGGAUGGCCAGCCACAUUGGGACUGAGAUACGGCCCAGACUCCUACGGGAGGCAGCAGUGGGGAAUCUUGCGCAAUGGUCGAAAGACUGACGCGGCGACGCCGCGUGCGGGAGGAAGCCCUUCGGGGUGUAAACCGCUGUUACUCGGGACGAACCUCCCGAUUUGUCGGGAUUGACGGUACCGGGGGAGGAAGCACCGGCUAACUCUGUGCCAGCAGCCGCGGUAAUACAGAGGGUGCGAGCGUUGUCCGGAAUCACUGGGCGUAAAGGGCGCGUAGGCGGCUUUUCACGCGUGCGGUGAAAGCUCGGGGCUUAACUCCGAGUCUGCCGUGCGAACGGGGAGGCUUGAGUCUGGUAGAGGUCGAUGGAAUUCCGGGUGUAGCGGUGGAAUGCGUAGAGAUCCGGAAGAACACCGGUGGCGAAGGCGGUCGACUGGGCCAGAACUGACGCUGAGGCGCGACAGCGUGGGGAGCAAACAGGAUUA